GAGCUAUCGAUGCAAGAACUGACUAUCCAUGAUAUCAAAAUGAUAGUUUUAACCAUGUUUUUAGUCUAUAUAGUGAUUGUUUACAAUGACAUUGUUCUUUUAAAAAAAGGAGUAAAACAAGCUUCUAUUUUGAGUUCUGAUGAGGUGAGACAGUUGAAAUAAUCUCAGGAGGCAUUUAUAAGUUACAUUCUUUAAGAAUCAAUGGUGGUGGAAUUCCAACAGAAUAAUGACGGACUUUUCAAAAUCGACAGUGAUGGUGAAACUAUUUGGGGCGUUACAAGUAUAGCACGGUUAAUGGAGCCAUUCCAGAGUCCCCAUACGAUUGACAUGCGAUUCCAGAGUCCCCAUACGAUUGACAUGCGAUUCCAGAGUCCCCAUACGAUUGACAUGCGAUUCCAGAGUCCCCAUACGAUUGACAUGCGAUUCCAGAGUCCCCAUACGAUUGACAUGUGAUUCCAGAGUCCCCAUACGAUUGGUGUUUAAAUGAGUGCAUCAAGUCGAAUACCAGGAAAGUCUUCAAAAGUUCAAAUUCUAGUGAUGCAAGGUGGUUGGUAAGGCAUUCAGAAUUUAAUUGUUUUAGGCUGACUGACCUAUUGAUCAUGGUUAGUGUCUAGUUUACAUGUUAGAAACUUCGGAAGUUUGUCAAUGAAAGUAGCAAACGUC
This 663-nucleotide long non-coding RNA is filed under the name Salmo salar (Atlantic salmon). RNAcentral's name for it is "lncRNA (ENSSSAG00000089845.1)". Lineage: Eukaryota; Metazoa; Chordata; Actinopteri; Salmoniformes; Salmonidae. The record is from RNAcentral.